CCUACGUGAGGCAGCAGUGAGGAAUAUUGGUCAAUGGGCGAGAGCCUGAACCAGCCAAGUCGCGUGAAGGAUGACGGCCCUGCGGGUUGUAAACUUCUUUUGUCAGGGAGCAAUUUGGUCCACGCGUGGGCUUAGCUGUGGUACCUGAAAAAAAAGCAUCGGCUACCUCCGUGCCAGCAGCGGCGGUAAUACGGGGGAUGGGAGCGGUAUCCGGAUUUAUUGGGUUUAAAGGGUGCGUAGGCGGAAUAUCAAGUCAGCGUUAAAACUUCGGGUCUCACCCCCGUCGUGCCGUUGAAACUGAUGGUCGUGAGGGGGCGAGAAGUAUGCGGAAUGCGUGGUGUAGCGGUGAAAUGCAUAGAUAUCACGCAGAACUCCGAUUGCGAAGGCAGCAUACCGGCGCCCAACUGACGCUGAAGCACGAAAGCGGGGGUAUCGAACAGGAUUAGAUACCCGGGUAGUC
Molecule: ribosomal RNA, 460 nt
Filed under: uncultured bacterium
Lineage: Bacteria
Description: partial 16S ribosomal RNA
Rfam family: Bacterial small subunit ribosomal RNA
Source: RNAcentral